AUCGCUUCUCGGCCUUUUGGCUAAGAUCAAGUGUAGUAUCUGUUCUUAUCAGUUUAAUAUCUGAUACGUCCCCUACCCGGGGACCAUAUAUUAAAUUGAUUUUUGGAGCAGGGAGAUGGAAUAGGGGCUUGCUCCGUCCACUCCACGCAUCGACCCGGUAUUGCAGUACUUCCAGGAACGGUGCACCUUUC
This 191-nucleotide small nuclear RNA is filed under the name Anabas testudineus (climbing perch). RNAcentral's name for it is "U2 spliceosomal RNA (ENSATEG00000004444.2)". It matches the Rfam family "U2 spliceosomal RNA". Rfam says of the family: U2 is a small nuclear RNA (snRNA) component of the spliceosome (involved in pre-mRNA splicing). Complementary binding between U2 snRNA (in an area lying towards the 5' end but 3' to hairpin I) and the branchpoint sequence (BPS) of the intron results the bulging out of an unpaired adenosine, on the BPS, which initiates a nucleophilic attack at the intronic 5' splice site, thus starting the first of two transesterification reactions that mediate splicing. Lineage: Eukaryota; Metazoa; Chordata; Actinopteri; Anabantiformes; Anabantidae. The record is from Rfam by way of RNAcentral.